This 423-nucleotide ribosomal RNA is filed under the name uncultured Lacihabitans sp. RNAcentral's name for it is "bacterial SSU rRNA". It matches the Rfam family "Bacterial small subunit ribosomal RNA", at positions 355 to 774 of the family's 1533-position model. The record is from RNAcentral. Lineage: Bacteria; Pseudomonadati; Bacteroidota; Cytophagia; Cytophagales; Leadbetterellaceae.
UAGGGAAUAUUGGGCAAUGGAGGCAACUCUGACCCAGCCAUGCCGCGUGCAGGAAGACGGUCCUCUGGAUUGUAAACUGCUUUUGAAUGGGAAGAAUGUGCGGCUUGCGAGCUGUAAUGACGGUACCAUUAGAAUAAGCCACGGCUAACUACGUGCCAGCAGCCGCGGUAAUACGUAGGUGGCGAGCGUUAUCCGGAUUUAUUGGGUUUAAAGGGUGCGUAGGCGGCUUAAUAAGUCGGUGGUCAAAGGUAGUCGCUUAACGAUUUUACAUGCCAUCGAUACUGUUAAGCUUGAAUGAAUUGGAGGCAGCUAGAAUUUCCGGUGUAGCGGUGAAAUGCAUAGAUACCGGAAGGAAUACCAAUUGCGAAGGCAGGUUGCUACGAUUAUAUUGACGCUGAUGCACGAAAGCGUGGGGAUCAAACA